CUUGCACCGAGAUUCAACAUGGAACGAGUGGCGGACGGGUGAGUAACACGUGGGUAACCUGCCCUUAAGUGGGGGAUAACAUUUGGAAACAGAUGCUAAUACCGCAUAGAUCCAAGAACCGCAUGGUUCUUGGCUGAAAGAUGGCGUAAGCUAUCGCUUUUGGAUGGACCCGCGGCGUAUUAGCUAGUUGGUGAGGUAAUGGCUCACCAAGGCGAUGAUACGUAGCCGAACUGAGAGGUUGAUCGGCCACAUUGGGACUGAGACACGGCCCAAACUCCUACGGGAGGCAGCAGUAGGGAAUCUUCCACAAUGGACGCAAGUCUGAUGGAGCAACGCCGCGUGAGUGAAGAAGGCUUUCGGGUCGUAAAACUCUGUUGUUGGAGAAGAAUGGUCGGCAGAGUAACUGUUGUCGGCGUGACGGUAUCCAACCAGAAAGCCACGGCUAACUACGUGCCAGCAGCCGCGGUAAUACGUAGGUGGCAAGCGUUAUCCGGAUUUAUUGGGCGUAAAGCGAGCGCAGGCGGUUUUUUAAGUCUGAUGUGAAAGCCCUCGGCUUAACCGAGGAAGCGCAUCGGAAACUGGGAAACUUGAGUGCAGAAGAGGACAGUGGAACUCCAUGUGUAGCGGUGAAAUGCGUAGAUAUAUGGAAGAACACCAGUGGCGAAGGCGGCUGUCUGGUCUGUAACUGACGCUGAGGCUCGAAAGCAUGGGUAGCGAACAGGAUUAGAUACCCUGGUAGUCCAUGCCGUAAACGAUGAAUG
RNAcentral lists this ribosomal RNA (761 nucleotides) under Lacticaseibacillus paracasei. Its description in RNAcentral is "bacterial SSU rRNA". It matches the Rfam family "Bacterial small subunit ribosomal RNA", at positions 67 to 815 of the family's 1533-position model. Lineage: Bacteria; Bacillati; Bacillota; Bacilli; Lactobacillales; Lactobacillaceae. The record is from RNAcentral.